AGAGGAUGAUCAGCAACACUGGGAGUGAGACACGGCCCAGACUCCUACGGGAGGCAGCAGUGGGGAAUGUUAGACAAUGGGCGCAAGCUUGAUCUAGCCAUGCCGCGUGAGUGAUGAAGGCCUUAGGGUCGUAAAGCUCUUUCGCCAGGGAUGAUAAUGACAGUACCUGGUAAAGAAACCCCGGCUAACUCCGUGCCAGCAGCCGCGGUAAUACGGAGGGGGUUAGCGUUGUUCGGAAUUACUGGGCGUAAAGCGUACGUAGGCGGAUCAGAAGGUAAGAGGUGAAAUCCCAGGGCUCAACCCUGGAACUGCCUUUUAAACUCCUGGUCUUGAGUUCGAGAGAGGUGAGUGGAAUUCCGAGUGUAGAGGUGAAAUUCGUAGAUAUUCGGAGGAACACCAGUGGCGAAGGCGGCUCACUGGCUCGAUACUGACGCUGAGGUACGAAAGUGUGGGGAGCAAACAGGAUUAGAUACCCUGGUAGUCCACACCGUAA
RNAcentral lists this ribosomal RNA (493 nucleotides) under uncultured Alphaproteobacteria bacterium. RNAcentral describes it as "bacterial SSU rRNA". It matches the Rfam family "Bacterial small subunit ribosomal RNA", at positions 295 to 805 of the family's 1533-position model. Lineage: Bacteria; Pseudomonadati; Pseudomonadota; Alphaproteobacteria. The record is from RNAcentral.